ACCUGUUUCCAUGCCGAACACAGAAGUUAAGCUCCUUAGCGUCGAUGGUAGUCGAACUUACGUUCCGCUAGAGUAGAACGUUGCCAGGCA
RNAcentral lists this ribosomal RNA (90 nucleotides) under Staphylococcus aureus SCOA6012. Lineage: Bacteria; Bacillati; Bacillota; Bacilli; Caryophanales; Staphylococcaceae. The record is from RNAcentral.